CACACCGAUUCAAGGAAGACCCUUACAUUCUAGGUCUCCAGGCUCAACAGGUUUUCUAUGUGAGAGAUGUGAAGAACCCUGAUUGGGCAAGUGUUAUUAAAAUGAAUCCACGCAAUUUGUUUGCUCCUUCUGUUUUAAAUGGUGUUGGCCUUGAUGAAGCUGCUGAAGCCGAUGAAGGCGGUGACGCAGACGUACUGGAUGUCGUCGAUGCGGAAAUAGUCCCAGAAAUUACUGUACCUGAAGAGAUCACUAGUUGGUGCAGAAACGAUGAUGAAGGAUCCAGCGUUGAUGCUUCUGUCAUCAAAAGUAUAAAACCUGUUGAGUUUGAAGAUGUUCACUCCGAAUCUGAUGAUGAUAUCGAUGAUGAUGAUGCUUACAUAAAUGAUGGCCAUGUUGCUCCUUUGGGACAAGAAGAAUUGGAUGAUGACAACGGGUUCUUUGUGUAGUUUCAAAUAUCUUGGUUGAAACAAGGCGCACGUGCUUACUCAUUUGUUGUCGCAAAAGGGAACAUAAGCUAGCGGAACCGUCGUGUCUGGUGGCUCACCUAUUAGACUCUUGAAUUUCAAUUAUUUAGUCAUUUAACAGAUUCAGAGCAGUUCAUAUAUGUAGUUACUGUGGAUUCAUAGCUGGAUCAGCCUACUUGUUCACACGUUACAGAAAAGCUUUUAUACAAAUUCAGUCACAUUUUGCAUUUGCUGUACGCUUCCCUAA
Molecule: long non-coding RNA, 711 nt
Organism: Lolium perenne
Lineage: Eukaryota; Viridiplantae; Streptophyta; Magnoliopsida; Poales; Poaceae
Source: RefSeq, a predicted model, not a curated record